RNAcentral lists this ribosomal RNA (303 nucleotides) under uncultured bacterium. RNAcentral's name for it is "bacterial SSU rRNA". It matches the Rfam family "Bacterial small subunit ribosomal RNA", at positions 214 to 509 of the family's 1533-position model. The record is from RNAcentral.
AUCGCUCAGAGAUGGGUCUGCGUCUGAUUAGCUAGUUGUGGGGCAACGGCCUACCAAGGCGACGAUCAGUAGCCGGUCUGAGAGGAUGAACGGCCACAUUGGAACUGAGACACGGUCCAGACUCCUACGGGAGGCAGCAGUGGGGAAUCUUCCGCAAUGGGCGAAAGCCUGACGGAGCAACGCCGCGUGAGUGAAGAAGGUCUUCGGAUCGUAAAGCUCUGUUGUCGGGGACGAAUGUAGAGGCUAUCAACAACGGCUUCUAAUGACGGUACCUGACGAGGAAGCCACGGCUAACUACGUGCC